CCGGCUAUAUUGCGUCACUAUAAAAGACGACUCUCCGUCACGGUGGUCAUUGAGGGGCAGGAACGUGAACUGACGAGUCGACAACACGCUACUACGAUGAACAACGCAAUCAAGUGGUUGAUCUUGGCUUUUGCUGUCGCCAUGCUGAUCACAGGUGGUGAUGCUCUGACAUGCAAACGCUGUAUGGGUGUUUGGUGUUUUGAUGAAACAUGUCAACCAGGCCAAGUCUGCAUAUUCGUGCCAUUCUUCGGUGACCAGGGCUGUGCGAAUCCGUGAAUGUGACGACAGACAAACCCCCAACGCAAAAUGUCCCAAAAUGGACUUCUGCGACAUGGAAGGAUUUGUGGGGGUUGAAGAUCCAACCUAUCGUCUUGGUAGUUUAGUUGAGAAGCAUUCAAAAAUGUUGAAAAAAAUAAAUAAAAAGUGAUCAUCAAAUGAUGACUUUGCUCUUGCAUUGAGUUGAACAAUUUACCUAUCUUGUUGACAGAGGCCGAAAGCAGUCUCAAAAUUCAACUCUAAAAGACCGAGGUGAUUGUUUUGAUCAAUUGAUAUUUUCUGGGAUUUGGCCUGAGCGGAGACGCCCAUGUGACUUUUGGUCACCAUUAACAACUGUCUCGUUCAAAGCGCUAUUAAAGCUGCCAUCGGUGGCCCCGGUUCAUCAAUCGCGGACUCCGCCCCGAAUCUCUCGUCUUCCCUCCGAGUCGUACGCACUUCUCACAGGUGUCCCGCAGGGUUGGAUGCACGGUCCACCUUUGUUUGGAUGAAAUGACAACAAAAUGACCCUAACGAUAACACCUUUGCCGAUUUCAAUGCUGACCACAGAAUUGCAGUCUCAUCAAAGGAGACUGAAACCAGUCUUGUGACCGAUCCUCAAUUGGGCGCACGCUUAUUAAUAUAAAUAGGUGUGUAAAUAUGAUGAGUAAAUAAGAGCAGGUAUUAUAAAAACCAGCUCAGUGACCUAGAGGUUAGAGUGUCCGCCCUGAGACAGGAAGGUUGUGGCUUCAAACCCCGGCCGGGUCAUACCAAAGACUGUAAAAAUGGGACCCAUUGCCUCCCUGCUUGGCACUCAGCAUUAAGGGUUGGAAUUGGGGGGUUAGAAGGAGUGGAGCUCUUUACAAGCCCUAGGCUUUGUCACCUCCUUGCACAGUUAUUGAUAUAAUAAUAUGUGCUAAACAAUAAACUAAACUAAAAGACAACACUUAAGAGUAAAAUGAUCAUUGAGUGGCGGCAGUCUUACGGGACUUUUUUGAAGCGUAAAUCUCUGUCGUAAUUAUUUGGACGGGUGAUGAGUACAUAUUUACAUGCAUAAAUACAUGGGACAUAUUUGCUAAGAGGGCAGAGAAUUGCAAGUCAAACUGUUCAUUAAAGCCGCACGAUCUUCGUCAUUUGCAACUUGGAUGAGUGUAAACACGAAGAGCAAAUAAGAAUGUAAAACCUCUAUCCUCCUUCUUCCCGGCUAUAUUGCGUCACUAUAAAAGACGACUCUCCGUCAAGGUGGUCAUUGAGGGGCAGGAACGUGAACUGACGAGGGCUACUACGAUGAACAACGCAAUCAAGUGGUUGAUCUUGGCUUUCGCUGUCGCCAUGCUGAUCACAAGUGGUGACGCUCUGAUAUGCGAACGCUGUCUGGGUGUUAAGUGUUAUUACGAAACAUGUGAACCAGGCCAAGUCUGCAUAUUCGUGCCAUUCUACGGUCCCCAGGGCUGUGGGGAUCCGUGAAUGUGACGACAGACAAACCCCCAACGCAAAAUGUCCCAAAAUGGACUUCUGCGACAUGGAAGGAUUUGUGGGGGUUGAAGAUCCAACCUACCGUCUUGGUAGUUUAGUUGAGAAGCAUUCAAAUAUGUUGAAAAAAAUAAAUAAAAAGUGAUCAUCAAAUGA
Molecule: long non-coding RNA, 1881 nt
Organism: Syngnathus typhle (broad-nosed pipefish)
Lineage: Eukaryota; Metazoa; Chordata; Actinopteri; Syngnathiformes; Syngnathidae
Exons: 5
Source: RefSeq, a predicted model, not a curated record